CGCGAGACUUGUCUUAAAAAAGCUACAACAGUUAAUGUGUAAAUUCGGGUAAUAUGUCCGAAUAUAAAUUACAGACCGUCAAAUUUGAAAGUCCUGUUGUCAAGCAGUAAAGUUCGAGACUUGUCAAUCUGUUCACUCUUCACUCGAUCUAUGGAAUAUGAUACAGUCCAUUCUGUAUGCCGUCUGUACGUUCUAAUUAUGUACUUUUAAGUUGGCUGAAGAGGGGCUAAUGCCCGAAACGCGA
Molecule: long non-coding RNA, 244 nt
Organism: Centruroides sculpturatus (bark scorpion)
Lineage: Eukaryota; Metazoa; Arthropoda; Arachnida; Scorpiones; Buthidae
Exons: 3
Source: RefSeq, a predicted model, not a curated record